RNAcentral lists this transfer RNA (96 nucleotides) under Kitasatospora herbaricolor. RNAcentral describes it as "tRNA-Arg". The record is from RNAcentral. Lineage: Bacteria; Bacillati; Actinomycetota; Actinomycetes; Kitasatosporales; Streptomycetaceae.
ACCUGGGUGGGCAGCGUGGCCAGGAACCGGGAGACCUUCGCGGUGUCGGGGGUGAGCCCCCGGGAGAGCGUCACGUUCGGGUACGUGAUCCUGGUC